Molecule: ribosomal RNA, 869 nt
Filed under: Cryptopleura calophylloides
Lineage: Eukaryota; Rhodophyta; Florideophyceae; Ceramiales; Delesseriaceae
Description: LSU rRNA
Rfam family: Eukaryotic large subunit ribosomal RNA
Source: RNAcentral
GGGGGGUGCACUGUUCAGCGCGUUUUGCGUGUAUUCAGGGCAUUUUCCUUACCCGUCGUGGGUUUUGGAUGGUCGAUUUUGGGCCGUCUAGGGCUGAGGGAUCCCCUUUUUUUCAUAAGGGUGAGGACGAUGGGGCGCUGACGCGAUACGACCCGUCUUGAAACACGGACCAAGGAGUCCAGCAUAUGUGCGAGUCAAAGGGUGUUGAAACCUGAGGGCGCAGUGAAAGCAAUUAUUGAUUUUCAAUCUAAGUAUUUGCAGUUUAAGGCGGCAUACAAUGGUUGAUUGUAGGUCCGACCUAGAGCAGAUAUGCUGGGACCCGAAAGAUGGUGAACUAUGCCGGAGUAGGGCGAAGCCAGAGGAAACUCUGGUGGAGGCUCGUAGCGGUGCUGACGUGCAAAUCGCUCGUCUAACUCGGGUAUAGGGGCGAAAGACUAAUCGAACCAUCUAGUAGCUGGUUUCCUCCGAAGUUUCUCUCAGGAUAGCAGGCCGACGAGUAAGUUGUUGUGUGCGGUAAAGCGAAUGAUUAGCGUAUUUGGGGGCGAUUAGCCUUCAGUCGAUUCUCAAACUUUAAAUGCGCACGGAUGUUGCCGCUUGGGUGGGCGGUAUCGCUAAAAACGUCGGCCUUGUGGGCCACUUUUGGUAAGCAGAACUGGCGAUACGGGAUGAACCGUAAGCGUGGUUAAGGCGCCUAAUUGUCCGCUUAUAGAUUCCAAAAAAGGUGUUGAUUCAUCGAGACAGCAGGACGGUGGCCAUGGAAGUCGGAAUCCGCUAAGGAGUGUGUAACAACUCACCUGCCGAAUGAAUUAGCCCUGAAAAUGGAUGGCGCUUAAGCGGGUAGCCGACACCACGCCGUCUGAGUAAGUGGG